Molecule: long non-coding RNA, 208 nt
Organism: Lingula anatina
Lineage: Eukaryota; Metazoa; Brachiopoda; Lingulata; Lingulida; Lingulidae
Source: RefSeq, a predicted model, not a curated record
UUUGAGGUCAUGUGACCAGGGUGGGAUAUUUGAUGAAUGAAGUCCGUUGUCGCUACACCUCGCUACAGCAACAUUUUUAUUUCACAAAGGAACGAUCUGAAGAUAUUAUCCUAGAACUGGUUUUCAUUCGAAGAAAGCAGCAAGUCACCAUAAGCAUGAAGAGAUAGCAAGCACCUUGUAGUCCAAAGAAGUAACAAGCAGUUAGUAA